Molecule: ribosomal RNA, 402 nt
Filed under: uncultured bacterium
Lineage: Bacteria
Description: bacterial SSU rRNA
Rfam family: Bacterial small subunit ribosomal RNA
Source: RNAcentral
UGGGGAAUCUUGCGCAAUGGGCGAAAGCCUGACUCAGCCAUGUCGCGUGAAUGAUGAAGGUCUUAGGAUUGUAAAAUUCUUUCUCCGGGGACGAUAAUGACGGUACCCGGAGAAGAAGUCCCGGCUAACUUCGUGCCAGCAGCCGCGGUAAUACGAAGGGGGCUAGCGUUGCUCGGAAUUACUGGGCGUCAAGGGUGCGUAGGCGGACAUUUAAGUCAGGGGUGAAAUCCCGGGGCUCAACCUCGGAAUGGCCUUGGAUACUGGGUGUCUUGAGUGUGAGAGAGGUAAGGGGAACUCCGGGGGUAGAGGGGAAAUUCGUAGAUAUUCGGAAGAACACCAGUGGCGAAGGCGACAUACUGGCACAUUACUGACGCUGAGGCUCGAAAGCGUGGGGAGCAAAAA